GGCUCCAUGACACAAUGGAUAGUGUAUUGGACUUCUAGAGGGUGAAGGGAUUCAAAAGUUCUGGGUUCAAGUCCCAGCAGAGUCA
Molecule: transfer RNA, 85 nt
Organism: Alligator mississippiensis (American alligator)
Lineage: Eukaryota; Metazoa; Chordata; Crocodylia; Alligatoridae
Rfam family: tRNA
About the family: Transfer RNA (tRNA) molecules are approximately 80 nucleotides in length. Their secondary structure includes four short double-helical elements and three loops (D, anti-codon, and T loops).
Source: Rfam